AUUGAUUGAUGGUGCUUGCACCUGAUUGAUUUUGGUCGCCAACGAGUGGCGGACGGGUGAGUAACACGUAGGUAACCUGCCCAGAAGCGGGGGACAACAUUUGGAAACAGAUGCUAAUACCGCAUAACAGCGUUGUUCGCAUGAACAACGCUUAAAAGAUGGCUUCUCGCUAUCACUUCUGGAUGGACCUGCGGUGCAUUAGCUUGUUGGUGGGGUAACGGCCUACCAAGGCGAUGAUGCAUAGCCGAGUUGAGAGACUGAUCGGCCACAAUGGGACUGAGACACGGCCCAUACUCCUACGGGAGGCAGCAGUAGGGAAUCUUCCACAAUGGGCGCAAGCCUGAUGGAGCAACACCGCGUGAGUGAAGAAGGGUUUCGGCUCGUAAAGCUCUGUUGUUAAAGAAGAACACGUAUGAGAGUAACUGUUCAUACGUUGACGGUAUUUAACCAGAAAGUCACGGCUAACUACGUGCCAGCAGCCGCGGUAAUACGUAGGUGGCAAGCGUUAUCCGGAUUUAUUGGGCGUAAAGAGAGUGCAGGCGGUUUUCUAAGUCUGAUGUGAAAGCCUUCGGCUUAACCGGAGAAGUGCAUCGGAAACUGGAUAACUUGAGUGCAGAAGAGGGUAGUGGAACUCCAUGGUGUAGCGGUGGAAUGCGUAGAUUUAUGGAAGAACACCAGUGGCGAAGGCGGCUACCUGGUCUGCAACUGACGCUGAGACUCGAAAGCAUGGGUAGCGAACAGGAUUAGAUACCCUGGUAGUCCAUGCCGUAAACGAUGAGUGCUAGGUGUUUUGAAGGGUUUCCGCCCUUCA
RNAcentral lists this ribosomal RNA (811 nucleotides) under Limosilactobacillus fermentum. RNAcentral's name for it is "bacterial SSU rRNA". It matches the Rfam family "Bacterial small subunit ribosomal RNA", at positions 61 to 842 of the family's 1533-position model. Lineage: Bacteria; Bacillati; Bacillota; Bacilli; Lactobacillales; Lactobacillaceae. The record is from RNAcentral.